Molecule: ribosomal RNA, 141 nt
Filed under: uncultured Thermovirga sp.
Lineage: Bacteria; Thermotogati; Synergistota; Synergistia; Synergistales; Thermovirgaceae
Description: partial 16S ribosomal RNA
Rfam family: Bacterial small subunit ribosomal RNA
Source: RNAcentral
GGACGGAGCGAGGGGCGACCUUGAGCGGAUCCCUCAAAGCCGGUCUCAGUUCGGAUUGCAGUCUGCAACUCGACUGCAUGAAGUUGGAAUCGCUAGUAAUCGUGGAUCAGCCAAGCCGCGGUGAAUACGUUCCCGGGCCUU